This is a non-coding RNA of Tribolium castaneum (red flour beetle), 88 nucleotides long. Lineage: Eukaryota; Metazoa; Arthropoda; Insecta; Coleoptera; Tenebrionidae. The record is from RefSeq and is marked provisional.
ACUAAAUCAGUUGAUGUAAAGGAAUUGCAGGAUUGAAAUGUCUGCAGCGUUUUAGUCUUGUAAAUUCCUUUGGGUUUACUGAUAAAAA